This 462-nucleotide ribosomal RNA is filed under the name uncultured bacterium. Its description in RNAcentral is "partial 16S ribosomal RNA". It matches the Rfam family "Bacterial small subunit ribosomal RNA", at positions 28 to 506 of the family's 1533-position model. The record is from RNAcentral.
GACGAACGCUGGCGGCACGCCUAACACAUGCAAGUCGAACGGACUUAAAAGAGCUUGCUUUUUUAAGUUAGUGGCGGAUGGGUGAGUAACACGUGAGCAACCUGCCUCUGAGAGGGGGAUAGCUUCUGGAAACGGAUGGUAAUACCCCAUAAAAUAUAAAUAUCGCAUGAUAGAUAUAUCAAAGAAAUUCGCUCAGAGAUGGGCUCGCGUCUGAUUAGAUAGUUGGUGAGGUAACGGCUCACCAAGUCGACGAUCAGUAGCCGGACUGAGAGGUUGAACGGCCACAUUGGGACUGAGACACGGCCCAGACUCCUACGGGAGGCAGCAGUGGGGAAUAUUGCACAAUGGAGGGAACUCUGACGCAGCGAUGCCGCGUGGAGGAAGAAGGUUUUCGGAUUGUAAACUCCUUUUAUCAGGGACGAUAAUGACGGUACCGGAAGAAAAAGCUCCGGCUAACUACGU